GGAAGUAAAAGUCGUAACAAGGUUUCCGUAGGUGAACCUGCGGAAGGAUCAUUAUCGAGUUUUGAACGGGUUGUAGCUGGCCUCUCACGAGGCAUGUGCACGCCUGGCUCAUCCACUCUUAACCUCUGUGCACUUUAUGUAAGAGAAAAAAAUGGUGGAAGCUUCCAGGAUCUCGCGAGAGGUCUUUGGUUGAACAAGCCGUUUUUCUUUCUUAUGUUUUACUACAAACGCUUCAGUUAUAGAAUGUCAACUGUGUAUAACACAUUUAUAUACAACUUUCAGCAACGGAUCUCUUGGCUCUCGCAUCGAUGAAGAACGCAGCGAAAUGCGAUAAGUAAUGUGAAUUGCAGAAUUCAGUGAAUCAUCGAAUCUUUGAACGCACCUUGCACUCCUUGGUAUUCCGAGGAGUAUGCCUGUUUGAGUCUCAUGGUAUUCUCAACCCCUAAAUUUUUGUAAUGAAGGUUUAGCGGGCUUGGACUUGGAGGUUGUGUCGGCCCUUGUCGGUCGACUCCUCUGAAAUGCAUUAGCGUGAAUCUUACGGAUCGCCUUCAGUGUGAUAAUUAUCUGCGCUGUGGUGUUGAAGUAUUUAUUUAUGGUGUUCAUGCUUCGAACCGUCUCCUUGCCGAGACAAUCAUUUGACAAUCUGAGCUCAAAUCAGGUAGGACUACCCGCUGAACUUAAGCAUAUCAAUAAGCGGAGGA
RNAcentral lists this ribosomal RNA (701 nucleotides) under Irpex lacteus. RNAcentral describes it as "eukaryotic LSU rRNA". The stretch from base 274 to 427 matches the Rfam family "5.8S ribosomal RNA". Lineage: Eukaryota; Fungi; Basidiomycota; Agaricomycetes; Polyporales; Irpicaceae. The record is from RNAcentral.